GAGGGAAACCGAGUCUUAAUUGGGCGUUAAGUUGCAGGGUAUAGACCCGAAACCCGGUGAUCUAGCCAUGGGCAGGUUGAAGGUUGGGUAACACUAACUGGAGGACCGAACCGACUAAUGUUGAAAAAUUAGCGGAUGACCUGUGGCUGGGGGUGAAAGGCCAAUCAAACCGGGAGAUAGCUGGUUCUCCCCGAAAGCUAUUUAGGUAGCGCCUCGUGAAUUCAUCUCCGGGGGUAGAGCACUGUUUCGGCUAGGGGGCCAUCCCGGCUUACCAACCCGAUGCAAACUGCGAAUACCGGAGAAUGUUAUCACGGGAGACACACGGCGGGUGCUAACGUCCGUCGUGAAGAGGGAAACAACCCAGACCGCCAGCUAAGGUCCCAAAGUCAUGGUUAAGUGGGAAACGAUGUGGGAAGGCCCAGACAGCCAGGAUGUUGGCUUAGAAGCAGCCAUCAUUUAAAGAAAGCGUAAUAGCUCACUGGUCGAGUCGGCCUGCGCGGAAGAUGUAACGGGGCUAAACCAUGCACCGAAGCUGCGGCAGCGACACUGUGUGUUGUUGGGUAGGGGAGCGUUCUGUAAGCCUGUGAAGGUGUGUCGUGAGGCAUGCUGGAGGUAUCAGAAGUGCGAAUGCUGACAUAAGUAACGAUAAAGCGGGUGAAAAGCCCGCUCGCCGGAAGACCAAGGGUUCCUGUCCAACGUUAAUCGGGGCAGGGUGAGUCGACCCCUAAGGCGAGGCCGAAAGGCGUAGUCGAUGGGAAACGGGUUAAUAUUCCCGUACUUGGUGUUACUGCGAAGGGGGGACGGAGAAGGCUAUGUUGGCCGGGCGACGGUUGUCCCGGUUUAAGCGUGUAGGUGUGUGUUCCAGGUAAAUCCGGUUCACUUUAACACUGAGGCGUGACGACGAGGCACUACGGUGCUGAAGCAACAAAUGCCCUGCUUCCAGGAAAAGCCUCUAAGCAUCAGGUAACAUCAAAUCGUACCCCAAACCGACACAGGUGGUCAGGUAGAGAAUACCAAGGCGCUUGAGAGAACUCGGGUGAAGGAACUAGGCAAAAUGGUGCCGUAACUUCGGGAGAAGGCACGCUGACACGUAGGUGAAGUGAUUUACUCAUGGAGCUGAAGUCAGUCGAAGAUACCAGCUGGCUGCAACUGUUUAUUAAAAACACAGCACUGUGCAAACACGAAAGUGGACGUAUACGGUGUGACGCCUGCCCGGUGCCGGAAGGUUAAUUGAUGGGGUCAGCGCAAGCGAAGCUCCUGAUCGAAGCCCCGGUAAACGGCGGCCGUAACUAUAACGGUCCUAAGGUAGCGAAAUUCCUUGUCGGGUAAGUUCCGACCUGCACGAAUGGCGUAAUGAUGGCCAGGCUGUCUCCACCCGAGACUCAGUGAAAUUGAACUCGCUGUGAAGAUGCAGUGUACCCGCGGCAAGACGGAAAGACCCCGUGAACCUUUACUAUAGCUUGACACUGAACAUUGAGCCUUGAUGUGUAGGAUAGGUGGGAGGCUUUGAAGUGUGGACGCCAGUCUGCAUGGAGCCGACCUUGAAAUACCACCCUUUAAUGUUUGAUGUUCUAACGUGGACCCGUUACCCGGGUUGCGGACAGUGUCUGGUGGGUAGUUUGACUGGGGCGGUCUCCUCCUAAAGAGUAACGGAGGAGCACGAAGGUUGGCUAAUCCUGGUCGGACAUCAGGAGGUUAGUGCAAUGGCAUAAGCCAGCUUGACUGCGAGCGUGACGGCGCGAGCAGGUGCGAAAGCAGGUCAUAGUGAUCCGGUGGUUCUGAAUGGAAGGGCCAUCGCUCAACGGAUAAAAGGUACUCCGGGGAUAACAGGCUGAUACCGCCCAAGAGUUCAUAUCGACGGCGGUGUUUGGCACCUCGAUGUCGGCUCAUCACAUCCUGGGGCUGAAGUAGGUCCCAAGGGUAUGGCUGUUCGCCAUUUAAAGUGGUACGCGAGCUGGGUUUAGAACGUCGUGAGACAGUUCGGUCCCUAUCUGCCGUGGGCGCUGGAGAACUGAGGGGGGCUGCUCCUAGUACGAGAGGACCGGAGUGGACGCAUCACUGGUGUUCGGGUUGUCAUGCCAAUGGCACUGCCCGGUAGCUAAAUGCGGAAGAGAUAAGUGCUGAAAGCAUCUAAGCACGAAACUUGCCCCGAG
This 2153-nucleotide ribosomal RNA is filed under the name Salmonella enterica subsp. enterica. Its description in RNAcentral is "partial 23S ribosomal RNA". It matches the Rfam family "Bacterial large subunit ribosomal RNA", at positions 668 to 2803 of the family's 2925-position model. The record is from RNAcentral. Lineage: Bacteria; Pseudomonadati; Pseudomonadota; Gammaproteobacteria; Enterobacterales; Enterobacteriaceae. RNAcentral also lists the same sequence under 1 other name.